GUGCCAGCCGCGGCGGUAAUACGGAGGGUGCAAGCGUUAUCCGGAUUCACUGGGUUUAAAGGGUGCGUAGGUGGGCUGGUAAGUCAGUGGUGAAAUCUCCGGGCUUAACUCGGAAACUGCCAUUGAUACUAUCAGUCUUGAAUAUUGUGGAGGUUAGCGGAAUAUGUCAUGUAGCGGUGAAAUGCAUAGAUAUGACAUAGAACACCAAUUGCGAAGGCAGCUGGCUACACAUAUAUUGACACUGAGGCACGAAAGCGUGGGAUCAAACAGGAUUAGAUACCCUGGUAGUCCACGCCCUAAACUAUGGAUACUCGACAUACGCGAUACACUGUGUGUGUCUGAGCGAAAGCAUUAAGUAUCCCGACCUGGGAAGUACGAUCGCAAGAUUGAAACUCAAAGG
Molecule: ribosomal RNA, 400 nt
Filed under: uncultured Thiobacillus sp.
Lineage: Bacteria; Pseudomonadati; Pseudomonadota; Betaproteobacteria; Nitrosomonadales; Thiobacillaceae
Description: bacterial SSU rRNA
Rfam family: Bacterial small subunit ribosomal RNA
Source: RNAcentral